RNAcentral lists this ribosomal RNA (463 nucleotides) under uncultured bacterium. RNAcentral describes it as "partial 16S ribosomal RNA". It matches the Rfam family "Bacterial small subunit ribosomal RNA", at positions 28 to 507 of the family's 1533-position model. The record is from RNAcentral.
GAUGAACGCUGACAGAAUGCUUAACACAUGCAAGUCGAUGGGGAAGUGGUGCUUGCACCAUGGUAACCAUGGCGGACGGGUGAGUAACGCGUAAGGAACUUACCUGCGGGACCGGGAUAACAGCAGGAAACUGCUGACAAGACCGGAUAAGGUCAUUAAGCUGCAUAGCUUAGUGAUGAAAGGAGACGCCUGCGGAGAGCCUUGCGUCCUAUUAGCUAGUUGGAGGGGUAACGGCCCACCAAGGCGAAGAUAGGUAGCCGGCCUGAGAGGGUGGACGGCCACAAGGGGACUGAGAUACGGCACUUACUCCUACGGGAGGCAGCAGUGGGGAAUAUUGGACAAUGGGGGCAACCCUGAUCCAGCAAUUCUGUGUGCACGAAGACGGUUUUCGGAUUGUAAAGUGCUUUCAGCAGGGAAGAAGGAAGUGACGGUACCUGCAGAAGAAGCGACGGCUAAAUACGUG